Molecule: ribosomal RNA, 495 nt
Filed under: uncultured bacterium
Lineage: Bacteria
Description: partial 16S ribosomal RNA
Rfam family: Bacterial small subunit ribosomal RNA
Source: RNAcentral
GACGAACGCUGGCGGCGUGCCUAAUACAUGCAAGUAGAACGCUGAAGGAGGAGCUUGCUUCUCUGGAUGAGUUGCGAACGGGUGAUUAACGCGUAGUUAACCUGCUUGGUAGCGGGGGUUAACUAUUGGAAACGAUAGCUAAUACCGCAUAAUAGUAGAUGUUGCAUGACAUUUUCCUAAAAGGUGCAAUUGCAUCACUACCAGAUGGGCCUGCGUUGUAUUAGCUAGUUGGUGGGGUAACGGCUCACCAAGGCGACGAUACAUAGCCGACCUGAGAGGGUGAUCGGCCACACUGGGACUGAGACACGGCCCAGACUCCUACGGGAGGCAGCAGUAGGGAAUCUUCGGGAAUGGACGGAAGUCUGACCGAGCAACGCAGCGUGAGUGAAGAAGGUUUUCGGAUCGUAAAGCACUGUUGUAAGAGAAGAACGAGUGUGAGAGUGGAAAGUACACUCUGUGACGGUAUCUUACCAGAAAGCGACGGCUAACUACGUG